GCAUAUCAAUAAGCGGAGGAAAAGAAACCAACCGGGAUUGCCUUAGUAACGGCGAGUGAAGCGGCAAAAGCUCAAAUUUGAAAUCUGGUACCUUCGGUGCCCGAGUUGUAAUUUGGAGAGGGCAACUUUGGGGCCGUUCCUUGUCUAUGUUCCUUGGAACAGGACGUCAUAGAGGGUGAGAAUCCCGUGUGGCGAGGAGUGCGGUUCUUUGUAAAGUGCCUUCGAAGAGUCGAGUUGUUUGGGAAUGCAGCUCUAAGUGGGUGGUAAAUUCCAUCUAAAGCUAAAUAUUGGCGAGAGACCGAUAGCGAACAAGUACAGUGAUGGAAAGAUGAAAAGAACUUUGAAAAGAGAGUGAAAAAGUACGUGAAAUUGUUGAAAGGGAAGGGCAUUUGAUCAGACAUGGUGUUUUGUGCCCUCUGCUCCUUGUGGGUAGGGGAAUCUCGCAUUUCACUGGGCCAGCAUCAGUUUUGGUGGCAGGAUAAAUCCAUAGGAAUGUAGCUUGCCUCGGUAAGUAUUAUAGCCUGUGGGAAUACUGCCAGCUGGGACUGAGGACUGCGACGUAAGUCAAGGAUG
RNAcentral lists this ribosomal RNA (573 nucleotides) under Saccharomyces cerevisiae (brewer's yeast). Its description in RNAcentral is "eukaryotic LSU rRNA". It matches the Rfam family "Eukaryotic large subunit ribosomal RNA", at positions 38 to 625 of the family's 3401-position model. The record is from RNAcentral. Lineage: Eukaryota; Fungi; Ascomycota; Saccharomycetes; Saccharomycetales; Saccharomycetaceae.